This 248-nucleotide unclassified non-coding RNA is filed under the name Hevea brasiliensis (rubber tree). The record is from RNAcentral. Lineage: Eukaryota; Viridiplantae; Streptophyta; Magnoliopsida; Malpighiales; Euphorbiaceae.
AGAUGAAGCAUCCGAUCACCAGCCACCGCAGUUUCUCUUCGACUGUUUCCAUAUGAUGAAUGGUCAGAAAUCCGAUCAAGUAGGAUGUCUUUUGUCAGAACUUCAUUUCCUGCUUCAGAAAUUUCAGACCUUGAAUGUGACCGAUUAUAACGCUCCUGUCCAUGAAGUGUUGAUUUGUCCUUGGUCGCACGACUACGUUCUCGGCCAGAUUUUACCUCUUCAAUCUCCUUCAUUGCUUUCUCUAGCUU